CGGUGGGUUCCCGAGCGGCAAAAGGGAGCGGGCUGGCAAAUCUGCCGUCAUCGACUUCGAAGGUUCGAAUCGCUUCCCCACCAC
RNAcentral lists this transfer RNA (84 nucleotides) under Salmonella enterica subsp. enterica. RNAcentral's name for it is "tRNA-Ala". Lineage: Bacteria; Pseudomonadati; Pseudomonadota; Gammaproteobacteria; Enterobacterales; Enterobacteriaceae. The record is from RNAcentral.